GACGAACGCUGGCGGCGCGCCUAACACAUGCAAGUCGAACGAGCGAGAGAGAGCUUGCUUUCUUGAGCGAGUGGCGAACGGGUGAGUAACGCGUGAGGAACCUGCCUCAAAGAGGGGGACAACAGUUGGAAACGACUGCUAAUACCGCAUAAGCCCACGGUGCCGCAUGGCACAGAGGGAAAAGGAGCAAUCCGCUUUGAGAUGGCCUCGCGUCCGAUUAGCUAGUUGGUGAGGUAACGGCCCACCAAGGCGACGAUCGGUAGCCGGACUGAGAGGUUGAACGGCCACAUUGGGACUGAGACACGGCCCAGACUCCUACGGGAGGCAGCAGUGGGGAAUAUUGCACAAUGGGGGAAACCCUGAUGCAGCGACGCCGCAUGGAGGAAGAAGGUCUUCGGAUUGUAAACUCCUGUUGUUGGGGAAGAUAAUGACGGUACCCAACAAGGAAGUGACGGCUAACUACGUG
Molecule: ribosomal RNA, 466 nt
Filed under: uncultured bacterium
Lineage: Bacteria
Description: partial 16S ribosomal RNA
Rfam family: Bacterial small subunit ribosomal RNA
Source: RNAcentral